GGUCUUUACCUUGUAUGUUCUCAUCCCUGCAGAGAUUUCAGAGCCAAGAGUGUGUAUCAACAUGAAGAAACAAUCAUCAAUCCAUCAAUGAGGAUCAUCCAUUGUUGUCAAGAUUUAUCCAAGUAUUCAAGAACUCGAAUUGGUUCUACGAAGA
Molecule: long non-coding RNA, 154 nt
Organism: Hibiscus syriacus
Lineage: Eukaryota; Viridiplantae; Streptophyta; Magnoliopsida; Malvales; Malvaceae
Exons: 4
Source: RefSeq, a predicted model, not a curated record